AGAGUUUGAUCAUGGCUCAGGACGAACGCUGGCGGCGUGCCUAAUACAUGCAAGUCGAGCGGAUUUAUCCCUUCGGGGAUGAGUUAGCGGCGGACGGGUGAGUAACACGUAGGCAACCUGCCUGAAGGAUCGGGAUAACUAUCGGAAACGAUAGCUAAGACCGAAUAAUUGGCAUCAUCGCAUGAAGAUGCCAUGAAACACGGAGCAAUCUGUGGCCUUUGGAUGGGCCUGCGGCGCAUUAGCUAGUAGGUGAGGUAACGGCUCACCUAGGCGACGAUGCGUAGCCGACCUGAGAGGGUGAACGGCCACACUGGGACUGAGACACGGCCCAGACUCCUACGGGAGGCAGCAGUAGGGAAUCUUCCGCAAUGGACGCAAGUCUGACGGAGCAACGCCGCGUGAGUGAUGAAGGUUUUCGGAUCGUAAAGCUCUGUUGCCCUAGACGAACGAGUCAGAGAGUAACUGCUCUGGCUGUGACGGUAUAGGAGAAGAAAGCCCCGGCUAACUACGUGCCAGCAGCCGCGGUAAUACGUAGGGGGCAAGCGUUGUCCGGAAUUAUUGGGCGUAAAGCGCGCGCAGGCGGUUCAGUAAGUUGGAUGUUUAAUGCCGGGGCUCAACCCCGGUACGCAUCCAAAACUGGUGGACUUGAGUGUAGGAGAGGAAAGUGGAAUUCCACGUGUAGCGGUGAAAUGCGUAGAGAUGUGGAGGAACACCAGUGGCGAAGGCGACUUUCUGGCCUAUAACUGACGCUGAGGCGCGAAAGCGUGGGGAGCAAACAGGAUUAGAUACCCUAGUAGUCC
RNAcentral lists this ribosomal RNA (800 nucleotides) under uncultured bacterium. Its description in RNAcentral is "bacterial SSU rRNA". It matches the Rfam family "Bacterial small subunit ribosomal RNA", at positions 8 to 796 of the family's 1533-position model. The record is from RNAcentral.